AUACGGAGGGUGCGAGCGUUAUUCGGAAUUACUGGGCGUAAAGCGCGUGCAGGCGGUCUGACAAGUCUGAUGUGAAAGCCCCGGGCUUAACCUGGGAAGUGCAUUGGAAACUGUUGGACUUGAGUACUGGAGAGGAAGGGGGAAUUCCCGGUGUAGAGGUGAAAUUCGUAGAGAUCGGGAGGAAUACCAGUGGCGAAGGCGCCCUUCUGGACGGCUACUGACGCUGAGACGCGAAAGCGUGGGGAGCAAACAGGAUUAGAUACCCUGGUAGUCCACGCUGUAAACGAUGAGCACUAGGUGUAGCGGGUACUCAUUCCUGCUGUGCCGUAGCUAACGCGUUAAGUGCUCCGCCUGGGGAUUACGGUCGCAAGACUAAA
Molecule: ribosomal RNA, 377 nt
Filed under: uncultured bacterium
Lineage: Bacteria
Description: bacterial SSU rRNA
Rfam family: Bacterial small subunit ribosomal RNA
Source: RNAcentral